AGAGAUAGAGAGAGAGAGAGGUGAGCCAGAGGCAUCAGGACUUUGAAACACUCUCUGGAGGGUGGUUCUCAGAAUGUGGUGCCUAGACCAGCAGCGUGAACGAGGUGGCAUCGCCUGGGAAAGAAAUGUGCCCCACCCGGACCUGCCGAGCCAGGAACGCGGACGGGGGUCGGGGGGGGUCGCAGCCUCGGACUCGAACGGCUGAUUCUGGCGCAUGCUACAGUCUGCUUCUAAAUUUCCCAGUCCUCAGACUGGGGAAGGGGCAUUGGUUUUGAUUUGUUUUGUUUUGUUUCAUUUCCGUUCCAUUAUGGAUCAGGACUUUUAUAAAAUGCGACAGAAAUGAAAAAAGUGAGAAAGCUAGAAGAUUUACAGAAUGCAAACCCAAAUUUUGUAUUCCUAGAUCCGAAGCUGUACAUUUGCUCCGUGAAAAGUGCUAGAAACCUUUCUAAAUGGCAUCCUCUCAAUUUCUGCGCUCGUGUCUCAGAGAACCAGCAGCCAGCAGCGUGCCCAGGGGCUCUGGCCGGCUGACCGGGCUCAGAGCGGCCAGGCCAGCGGGCCUUGGACAACCUUCCUCGGUGACUGCCAGGACCGCCGGGUACCCGGCAAAGCCCCGGGUGGGGAAAUACAAUGAAAAGCAAACUCUCCUCCCAACCGAGACAACCUCAUCACAGAGGCAGAAGAGACAGAAAUUCAUUUUAUUAUUGAAUAAACAUUCAGCCCCCCUGCGAGGACAGAAAUCUCUCCUCUGUGUAGCCACAGAUGGGGCCACUCCUGUCGGGUCGCAUUUGCCACCUGGAGCCCGGGGACGAGUCAGGCCCCUGUCUCCCCGAGACCCCGGGAGGUGAGGCGGAUCUUUCUCCACCAUUACUUUUCAGAGAUUCAGCUCCUGGGUCCUUGAGGCGGCAUUUCUGAGUGGAGACACUGGCCAGAGGCAUUUAGCCAUUAAAAACAUUUCCAUACAAACAAGAUUUGAAAAGGACAGAGAAGGAAAUUCUGAAAGAAAAGGAGGAGAGUGUCUCUUUCUUCUGUUCCGUGGGGACACUUAAUUUGUAUCUGGGCUCACACCACACAAUUCCCAUCUUUUCUUCUCAGCCUUCUGUGUGGCUUGCGUUUUGGGAGCGAGCGAGUCUGUGAGUUAUCACCGCAAAUAAUCUUCCUUCCCAGUUUCAUUCUAAAUUGAUUCACGACAGGGUGCCCACAUGGGGGGCGGGGAGGGACCAGGGUUAAAGAGAUGGCUUUCAUUUUUGACUUUGGUUAUUAAAGAGAAAUUGGGUAUUUUCCCACUUUGUUCUAAAGUUUAUUUUUAGCUACGAUUACUUAAAAUGAUUCAUUUUCUUAGACAUCUAGGAAAUGUUAAUUACUGCAGAUAAGACUCUAUUCUAAAGCCUACUACAAAGGCUCGCCCCCCCCCUUCUUCUUUAGCACAUAUAAAGGAGAUGAUGUUAAAAUGCUCUUAUGCAAAUUUAAAAAUUUGGCUGUUACGUUAGCAGUGCUAAUGACAGUUAAUGCAUUCCCAAAGCCUCUCUGUGACCCAAAAUAUUCAAGUGCUUAGAAUUGUUUCAGGACCACCCUGCAAAUAAACUAGAAGGGGACUUUUUUCCUGGAGAUUAGUUCCCUGGACAAGGGAUUCAGUUCGAAUUUAAGGGAUAAAAAAGAACUCUGGAGUCAGUGAGGUACUUACAGAAGUCUCUGCGGACAAAGGCUGAAACCCUCUUCUCCCAGAUCGCAGUCAUGGGGGAGCUACAGAAUCAGAGAGGAACGGUCACAGCGAUGGUUAGGGGGGAUUGUCCUUCAGAAAGCAAGGCAGAGAGGAAUGUGGGAAGAGGGCUAUCACAGGAAGGAGAGGAAAGGGCCAUCACAGGAAGGAGGCAAGAGGGCCAUCACAGGAAAGUGAGGAGAGGGCUAUCACAGGAAGGAGGGGAGAGGGCUAUCACAGGAAGGAGGGGAGAGGGCUAUCACAGGAAGGUGGGGAGAGGGCCAUCACAGGAAGGAGGGGAGAGGGCCAACACAGGAAGGAGGGGAGAGGGCUAACACAGGAAGGAGGGGAGAGGGCUAUCACAGGAAGGUGGGGAGAGGGCCAUCACAGGAAGGAGGGGAGAGGGCCAUCACAGAAAGGAGGGGAGAGGGCUAACACAGGAAAGUGAGGAGAGGGCUAUCACAGGAAGGAGGGGAGAGGGCCAUCACAGGAAGGAGGGGAGAGGGCCAUCACGGGAAGGAGGGGAGAGGGCUAUCACAGGAAGGAGGGGAGAGGGCUAACACAGGAAGGAGGGGAGAGGGCUAUCACAGGAAGGUGGGGAGAGGGCCAUCACAGGAAGGAGGGAAGAGGACUAACACAGGAAGGAGGGGAGAGGGCCAUCACAGGAAGGUGGGAGAGGGCUAUCACUGGAAGGUGGGGAGAGGGCCAUCACAGGAAGGAGGGGAGAGGGCCAUCACAGGAAGGAGGGGAGAGGGCCAUCACAGGAAGGAGUCAAGAGGGCCAUCACAGGAAGGUGGGGAGAGGGCCAUCACAGGAAGGAGGGGAGAGGGCUAACACAGGAAGGUUAGGAAAGGGCUCUCACAGGAAGAUGGGGAGAGGGCUAACAUGGGAAGGUGGGGAGAGGGCUUCACAAAGAUGGGUCAGGGGUGAUCAUGAAGAACCAGCUUCUCGAUGAGAUCUCGUCACACUUGUGCCAGGACCAGUUGGAAGCAGGCUGGGAAUGGCAGCGUUCAACUCAGUCUUGCUUGUAGACCCACCGCGGAGAGAUGCAGGCCUGUGUUGUCCCUGACCUGGGGACUGCCCUGUGCUGCUUGGAGGAGGAACGUUUCAUCUUCCGAAGGUAGCCCUGCUGAGGCGAGUCAGGAUGCCCCAGGGCCUUGGCACCCAUGCCUCUUAGCGUCAAAGCUGUCGUGACUCCUUCAGUCUAUACGCCGUCCCUCCUCCCUUGGGCUCCUUGCCCGUAAACACAAGCAGAGGCACGUGUGCCGCGGUCUAGUACGGAGCAGGAAUGCCAGCCAGGUGACUUCUGGAAGGUUCCGGGUGGAAUGUGCUGGAGAAGUAGAAUGAAAACCAGAAUCUUCCAGCCCGGAAAUGUUGUCCACAAACAUAGUGGAGGAAAACAACUACUUUUAUCGUGUGAAUAAGAGGCCCGAAUGAGAUGCGUAUUCUAGGCAAUCGAGGA
Long non-coding RNA from Panthera uncia (snow leopard), 3158 nucleotides. RefSeq lists it as uncharacterized. The record is from RefSeq and is a predicted model, not a curated record. NCBI's taxonomy places the organism in Eukaryota, Metazoa, Chordata, Mammalia, Carnivora, Felidae. The transcript has 3 exons.